RNAcentral lists this ribosomal RNA (514 nucleotides) under uncultured Bacteroidales bacterium. RNAcentral's name for it is "bacterial SSU rRNA". It matches the Rfam family "Bacterial small subunit ribosomal RNA", at positions 153 to 661 of the family's 1533-position model. Lineage: Bacteria; Pseudomonadati; Bacteroidota; Bacteroidia; Bacteroidales. The record is from RNAcentral.
GAAAGAAAGAUUAAUAUGCGAUAGUAUGGUGAGAUUGCAUGAUAGCACCAUUAAAGAUUCAUCGGUAAACGAUGGGGAUGCGUUCCAUUAGUUAGUAGGCGGGGCUAACGGUCCCACCUAGCCUGCGAUGGAUAGGGGUUCUGAGAGGAAGGUCCCCCACAUUGUGAACUGAGACACGGUCCAAACUCCUACGCGGAGGCAGCAGUGAGGAAUAUUGGUCAAUGGGCGAGAGCCUGAACCAGCCAAGUAGCGUGAAGGAUGAAGGUCCUACGGAUUGUAAACUUCUUUUAUAAGGGAAUAAAACGCUCCACGUGUGGAGCCUUGUAUGUACCUUAUGAAUAAGCAUCGGCUAACUCCGUGCCAGCAGCCGCGGUAAUACGGAGGAUGCGAGCGUUAUCCGGAUUUAUUGGGUUUAAAGGGAGCGCAGACGGGAUGUUAAGUCAGUUGUGAAAGUUUGCGGCUCAACCGUAAAAUUGCAGUUGAUACUGGCGUUCUUGAGUGCAGUUGAGGUGUG